UGGGGAAUAUUGCGCAAUGGGCGAAAGCCUGACGCAGCCAUGCCGCGUGUGUGAAGAAGGCCUUCGGGUUGUAAAGCACUUUCAAUUGGGAAGAAAGGUUGCGUGUUAAUAGCACGUAGCUGUGACGUUACCUUUAGAAGAAGCACCGGCUAACUCCGUGCCAGCAGCCGCGGUAAUACGGAGGGUGCGAGCGUUAAUCGGAAUUACUGGGCGUAAAGCGCGCGUAGGCGGUUUGUUAAGUCGGAUGUGA
RNAcentral lists this ribosomal RNA (250 nucleotides) under uncultured bacterium. RNAcentral describes it as "partial 16S ribosomal RNA". It matches the Rfam family "Bacterial small subunit ribosomal RNA", at positions 355 to 597 of the family's 1533-position model. The record is from RNAcentral.